Molecule: ribosomal RNA, 292 nt
Filed under: uncultured bacterium
Lineage: Bacteria
Description: partial 16S ribosomal RNA
Rfam family: Bacterial small subunit ribosomal RNA
Source: RNAcentral
GUGUCAGCAGCCGCGGUAAGACGAACCGUGCGAACGUUGUUCGGAAUCACUGGGCUUAAAGGGCGCGUAGGCGGCAGAUCAAGUCCGGGGUGAAAGCCCCCAGCUCAACUGGGGAAGUGCCUUGGAUACUGAUUUGCUCGAGGGAGGUAGGGGUCGAGGGAACUUCUGGUGGAGCGGUGAAAUGCGUUGAUAUCAGAAGGAACGCCGGUGGCGAAAGCGCUCGACUGGAUCUCUUCUGACGCUGAGGCGCGAAAGCUAGGGGAGCAAACGGGAUUAGAUACCCCCGUAGUCC